CUGCAGGAGAAGGUGGGGACACCUUGGGGACACCCUGGUUGGAUUUUGGAAGUUUUGGGACACCCUGGUUGGAUUUGGUGACUUUGGGGACAUCCUGGUUGGAUUUGGGGACAUCCUGGUUGGAUUUUGGAGGUUUUGGGACAUCCUGGUUGGAUUUGGGGACAUCUUGGGUUGGGUUUUGUGACUUUGGGGACACCCUGGUUGGGUGUCAGAGGUUUGGGGAUGCCCUGGUUAGAUGUGGGGAAAACUUGGCUGGAUUUUGAAGGUUUUGAGACAUCCUGGUGGGAUUUUUGGGGACAUCCUGGUUGGAUUUGGGGACAUCCUGGUUGGAUUUGGGAACACCCUGGUUGGAUUUUGGAAGUUUUGGUACACCCUGGUUGGAUUUGGUGACUUUGGGGACAUCCUGGGUUGGACUUUCAGAGGUCUGGGGACACCCUGGUUGAAUUUUGGGGACACCCUGGUUGGAUUUUGGAAGUUUUGGGGACAUCCUGGUUGAAUUUGGGGACAUCUUGUGUUGGAUUUUGGAAGUUUUGGGGACAGCCUGGUUGGAUUUGGGGACAUCUUGGGUUGGGUUUUGUGACUUUGGGGACAUCCUGGUUGGACUUCAGAGGUUUGGGGACACCCUGGCUGGAUGUGGGGGAAACCUUGGUUGGAUUUUGGAGGUUUUGAGACACCCUGGUGGGAUUUUUGGGGACAUCCUUGUUAGAUUUUUGGGGACAUCCUGGUUGGGUGUUGGAGGUUUUGGGACACCCUGGUUGGAUUUGGUGACUUUGGGGACAUCCUGGGUUGGACUUUCAGAGGUCUGGGGACACCCUGGUUGGAUUUUGGAAGUUUUGGGGACACCCUGGUUGGAUGUGGGGAAACCUUGGCUGGAUUUUGGAGGUUUUGGGACAUCCUGGUGGGAUUUGGGGACAUCCUUGUUAGAUUUUUGGGGACAUCCUGGUUGGGUGUCGGAGGUCUGGGUACACCCUGGUUGGAUCUGUGACCAUCGUGGUGUCCCCUGUGUGUCCCCAGGAGGAGCAGAAGACCAUGAAGUCCAAGAUGAGGGAGAAGGUGCGGCCCA
RNAcentral lists this long non-coding RNA (1063 nucleotides) under Zonotrichia albicollis (white-throated sparrow). RNAcentral describes it as "lncRNA (ENSZALG00000000973.1)". The record is from RNAcentral. Lineage: Eukaryota; Metazoa; Chordata; Aves; Passeriformes; Passerellidae.